This 76-nucleotide transfer RNA is filed under the name Acinetobacter baumannii. Its description in RNAcentral is "tRNA-Gly". It matches the Rfam family "tRNA". From Rfam's summary of the family: Transfer RNA (tRNA) molecules are approximately 80 nucleotides in length. Their secondary structure includes four short double-helical elements and three loops (D, anti-codon, and T loops). Lineage: Bacteria; Pseudomonadati; Pseudomonadota; Gammaproteobacteria; Moraxellales; Moraxellaceae. The record is from RNAcentral.
GCGGAUAUAGCUUAAUGGUAGAGUGGCAAGACUUCCGACUUUGCAGGUAUGGAUUCGAUUUCCAUUAUCCGCUCCA